ACGAACGCUGGCGGCGUGCUUAACACAUGCAAGUCGAACGGAAAGGCCCUGCUUUUGUGGGGUGCUCGAGUGGCGAACGGGUGAGUAACACGUGAGUAACCUGCCCUUGACUUUGGGAUAACUUCAGGAAACUGGGGCUAAUACCGGAUAGGAGCUCCUGCUGCAUGGUGGGGGUUGGAAAGUUUCGGCGGUUGGGGAUGGACUCGCGGCUUAUCAGCUUGUUGGUGGGGUAGUGGCUUACCAAGGCUUUGACGGGUAGCCGGCCUGAGAGGGUGACCGGCCACAUUGGGCCUGAGAUACGGCCCAGACUCCUACGGGAGGCAGCAGUGGGGAAUAUUGCACAAUGGGCGGAAGCCUGAUGCAGCAACGCCGCGUGCGGGAUGACGGCCUUCGGGUUGUAAACCGCUUUCGCCUGUGACGAAGCGUGAGUGACGGUAAUGGGUAAAGAAGCACCGGCUAACUACGUG
RNAcentral lists this ribosomal RNA (467 nucleotides) under uncultured bacterium. RNAcentral describes it as "partial 16S ribosomal RNA". It matches the Rfam family "Bacterial small subunit ribosomal RNA", at positions 29 to 507 of the family's 1533-position model. The record is from RNAcentral.